This 234-nucleotide ribosomal RNA is filed under the name uncultured bacterium. Its description in RNAcentral is "partial 16S ribosomal RNA". It matches the Rfam family "Bacterial small subunit ribosomal RNA", at positions 15 to 240 of the family's 1533-position model. The record is from RNAcentral.
GAUCCUGGCUCAGGAUGGACGCUAGCUACAGGCUUAACACAUGCGAGUCGAGGGGCAGCAUGGUCUUAGCUUGCUAAGGCCGAUGGCGACCGGCGCACGGGUGAGUAACGCGUAUCCAACCUGCCUUACACUCUUGGACAGCCUUCUGAAAGGGAGAUUAAUACAAGAUGUUAUCAUGAGUAAGCAUUUUCGCAUGAUUAAAGGUUUACCGGUGUAAGAUGGGGAUGCGUUCCA